RNAcentral lists this ribosomal RNA (333 nucleotides) under Escherichia coli. Its description in RNAcentral is "bacterial SSU rRNA". It matches the Rfam family "Bacterial small subunit ribosomal RNA", at positions 1 to 330 of the family's 1533-position model. The record is from RNAcentral. Lineage: Bacteria; Pseudomonadati; Pseudomonadota; Gammaproteobacteria; Enterobacterales; Enterobacteriaceae.
AAAUUGAAGAGUUUGAUCAUGGCUCAGAUUGAACGCUGGCGGCAGGCCUAACACAUGCAAGUCGAACGGUAACAGGAAACAGCUUGCUGUUUCGCUGACGAGUGGCGGACGGGUGAGUAAUGUCUGGGAAACUGCCUGAUGGAGGGGGAUAACUACUGGAAACGGUAGCUAAUACCGCAUAACGUCGCAAGACCAAAGAGGGGGACCUUCGGGCCUCUUGCCAUCGGAUGUGCCCAGAUGGGAUUAGCUUGUUGGUGGGGUAACGGCUCACCAAGGCGACGAUCCCUAGCUGGUCUGAGAGGAUGACCAGCCACACUGGAACUGAGACACGGU